This 407-nucleotide ribosomal RNA is filed under the name uncultured bacterium. RNAcentral describes it as "partial 16S ribosomal RNA". It matches the Rfam family "Bacterial small subunit ribosomal RNA", at positions 30 to 526 of the family's 1533-position model. The record is from RNAcentral.
AUUGAACGCUGGCGGCAAGCCUAACACAUGCAAGUCGAACGGAGUGGCGGACGGGUGAGUAAUGUCUGUGAAACUGCCUGCUUUAUGGGGAUAACUACUGGAAACGGUAGCUAAUACCGCAUACUAUCAGAUGAGCCUAGGUCGGAUUAGCUAGUUGGUGGGGUAAAGGGCUACCAAGGCGACGAUCCGUAGCUGGUCUGAGAGGAUGAUCAGGCACACGGGAACUGAGACACGGGCCAGACGCCUACGGGAGGCAGCAGUGGGGAAUAUUGGACAAUGGGCGAAAGCCUGAUCCAGCCAUGCCGCGUGUGUGAAGAAGGUCUUCGGGUUGUAAAGCACUUUAAGGUGGGAGGCGUUACCAGCAGAAGAAGCACCGGCUAACUCCGUGCCAGCCGCCGCGGUAAUUC